GCCCUUAGAGUUUGAUCCUGGCUCAGAUUGAACGCUGGCGGCAUGCCUAACACAUGCAAGUCGAACGGUAACAGGCCGCUGUGAUCCCUUCGGGGUGAACUUGGCGCUGACGAGUGGCAGACGGGUGAGUAACGCGCAGGAAUUUGCCCGGUAGUGGGGGAUAGCUCGGAGAAACUCGAAUUAAUACCGCAUACCCUCUACGGAGGAAAGCCGGGGACCUUUUCGGAGGCCCGGCGCUACCGGAUAAGCCUGCGUCUGAUUAGCUUGUUGGUGAGGUAACGGCUCACCAAGGCGACGAUCAGUAGCUGGUCUGAGAGGACGAUCAGCCACACUGGGACUGAGACACGGCCCAGACUCCUACGGGAGGCAGCAGUGAGGAAUAUUGGACAAUGGGCGCAAGCCUGAUCCAGCAAUGCCGCGUGUGUGAAGAAGGCCUGCGGGUUGUAAAGCACUUUCAGCAAGUGAAGAAAAGCUGCGCGCGAAUACCGCGCAGCCGUGACAUGCCCCUGCAGAAGAAGCACCGGCUAAUUCCGUGCCAAGCAGCCCGCCGGUAAUACCGGAAGGGUGCAAAGCGUUUAAUCCGGAAAUUACUGGGGCCGUUAAAGCCGCCACGUUA
Molecule: ribosomal RNA, 616 nt
Filed under: uncultured Gammaproteobacteria bacterium
Lineage: Bacteria; Pseudomonadati; Pseudomonadota; Gammaproteobacteria
Description: bacterial SSU rRNA
Rfam family: Bacterial small subunit ribosomal RNA
Source: RNAcentral